RNAcentral lists this ribosomal RNA (609 nucleotides) under uncultured bacterium. Its description in RNAcentral is "bacterial SSU rRNA". The stretch from base 1 to 517 matches the Rfam family "Bacterial small subunit ribosomal RNA", at positions 338 to 873 of the family's 1533-position model. The record is from RNAcentral.
CCUACGGGAGGCAGCAGUGGGGAAUAUUGGACAAUGGGCGAAAGCCUGAUCCAGCAAUGCCGCGUGAGUGAUGAAGGCCUUAGGGUUGUAAAGCUCUUUUACCAGGGAUGAUAAUGACAGUACCUGGAGAAUAAGCUCCGGCUAACUCCGUGCCAGCAGCCGCGGUAAUACGGAGGGAGCUAGCGUUGUUCGGAAUUACUGGGCGUAAAGCGCGCGUAGGCGGCGAUUCAAGUCAGAGGUGAAAGCCCGGGGCUCAACCCCGGAACUGCCUUUGAAACUAGAUUGCUAGAAUCUUGGAGAGGUCAGUGGAAUUCCGAGUGUAGAGGUGAAAUUCGUAGAUAUUCGGAAGAACACCAGUGGCGAAGGCGACUGACUGGACAAGUAUUGACGCUGAGGUACGAAAGCGUGGGGAGCAAACAGGAUUAGAUACCCUGGUAGUCCACGCCGUAAACGAUGAUAACUAGCUGUCCGGGCACUUGGUGCUUGGGUGGCGCAGCUACGCAUUAAGUUAUCCGUCCGUCGGGUAGGUACGGUCGCGAGAAUUAAACUAACAAUAGUAAGUUAGACGGCGUGAGACGUGACCGAACGGACGACGACGAGGGAGGUAGG